Molecule: ribosomal RNA, 446 nt
Filed under: uncultured bacterium
Lineage: Bacteria
Description: bacterial SSU rRNA
Rfam family: Bacterial small subunit ribosomal RNA
Source: RNAcentral
UCCAGACUCCUACGGGAGGCAGCAGUGGGGGAUAUUGCACAAUGGGGGAAACCCUGAUGCAGCGACGCCGCGUGAGUGAAGAAGCAUUUCGGUGUGUAAAGCUCUAUCAGCAGGGAAGAAGAAUGACGGUACCUGACUAAGAAGCCCCGGCUAACUACGUGCCAGCAGCCGCGGUAAUACGUAGGGGGCAAGCGUUAUCCGGAUUUACUGGGUGUAAAGGGAGCGUAGACGGCAAUGCAAGCCAGAUGUGAAAACCCGCAGCUCAACUGGGGGAGUGCAUUUGGAACUGUGUAGCUGGAGUGCAGGAGAGGUAAGCGGAAUUCCUGGUGUAGCGGUGAAAUGCGUAGAUAUCAGGAGGAACACCAGUGGCGAAGGCGGCUUACUGGACUGUAACUGACGUUGAGGCUCGAAAGCGUGGGGAGCAAACAGGAUUAGAUACCCUAGUA